AGGGAGUCAGAGAAGGCCUUGCAGGUAACCUUUUCUCUUUGAAGUAAAGCUGGGGUUGAGUUCUCUGUAGCUGGGGUUGUUUUUUCUGAAAUAAAGUUAUAUUUACACUUAUUAACUCAUUGCAAAAGCCUUUUAUCUUUAGCUAUUCAAUUAGAUAUGUGUAUGCAAAUCAUUCUUUGUUGAACAAUAGGAAUUUAGUAUUCAGCCACCUAAGGACUAUCAGGCUAACCUUGAGAACCUGCUUCUCACUAUGAUGAUAUACCAGCGAGUCAAUUUGUAGUUGGCUUUUUCAUAGACUUGAGUUGUUAGAGAAAUUUUCUAUGAAUUGUUAGAGAAAUUUUACUUCUCCCUGCACUCACCAUUUUUUCUAUUCAUUGGUAAACUCUCUCCUUUGAGUGUGGG
RNAcentral lists this unclassified non-coding RNA (402 nucleotides) under Hevea brasiliensis (rubber tree). Lineage: Eukaryota; Viridiplantae; Streptophyta; Magnoliopsida; Malpighiales; Euphorbiaceae. The record is from RNAcentral.